Molecule: ribosomal RNA, 904 nt
Filed under: uncultured bacterium
Lineage: Bacteria
Description: bacterial SSU rRNA
Rfam family: Bacterial small subunit ribosomal RNA
Source: RNAcentral
AGAGUUUGAUCAUGGCUCAGGACGAACGCUGGCGGCGUGCCUAACGCAUGCAAGUCGAGCGAAGUACUUAUCAAUAAGCCUUCGGGCAGAUUGAUAAGUUACUUAGCGGCGGAUGGGUGAGUAACGCGUGAGGAACCUGCCUUCCACAAGGGGAUAGCCUCGGGAAACCGGGAUUAAUACCCUAUGACACUUAAAGGUCCCAUGACUUUUAAGUUAAAGCGUUAGCGGUGGAAGAUGGCCUCGCGUCCCAUUAGCUAGUUGGUGAGGUAAGGGCUCACCAAGGCCACGAUGGGUAGCCGGCUUGAGAGAGUGACCGGCCACACUGGAACUGAGACACGGUCCAGACUCCUACGGGAGGCAGCAGUGGGGAAUAUUGCACAAUGGAGGGAACUCUGAUGCAGCGACGCCGCGUGAGCGAUGAAGGCCUUCGGGUCGUAAAGCUCUGUCCUAUGGGACGAUAAUGACGGUACCAUAGGAGGAAGCCCCGGCUAACUACGUGCCAGCAGCCGCGGUAAUACGUAGGGGGCGAGCGUUGUCCGGAAUUACUGGGCGUAAAGGGUACGCAGGCGGUCAUGUAAGUCAGAUGUGAAAUCCUAAGGCUUAACCUUAGUAAGCAUUUGAAACUGCGUGGCUUGAGUUAAGGAGAGGAAAGUGGAAUUCCUGGUGUAGCGGUGAAAUGCGUAGAUAUCAGGAGGAAUACCAGUGGCGAAGGCGACUUUCUGGCCUUAAACUGACGCUGAGGUACGAAAGCGUGGGGAGCAAACAGGAUUAGAUACCCUGGUAGUCCACGCUGUAAACGAUGAGUGCUAGGUGUCGGGUGUCAAAGCUCGGUGCCGCAGUAAACACAUUAAGCACUCCGCCUGGGGAGUACGUUCGCAAGAAUGAAACUCAAAGGAAUUGACGG